RNAcentral lists this transfer RNA (77 nucleotides) under Coriobacteriales bacterium. RNAcentral's name for it is "tRNA-Ala". It matches the Rfam family "tRNA". From Rfam's summary of the family: Transfer RNA (tRNA) molecules are approximately 80 nucleotides in length. Their secondary structure includes four short double-helical elements and three loops (D, anti-codon, and T loops). The record is from RNAcentral. Lineage: Bacteria; Bacillati; Actinomycetota; Coriobacteriia; Coriobacteriales.
GGGGCUUUAGCUCAGCUGGGAUGAGCGCUUGGCUGGCAGCCAAGAGGUCACGGGUUCGAUCCCCGUAAGCUCCACCA